UAAGGGCUGAAAAUAUAGCCACUUGGCUA
Molecule: non-coding RNA, 29 nt
Filed under: Homo sapiens (human)
Lineage: Eukaryota; Metazoa; Chordata; Mammalia; Primates; Hominidae
Source: RNAcentral